RNAcentral lists this ribosomal RNA (259 nucleotides) under uncultured bacterium. Its description in RNAcentral is "partial 16S ribosomal RNA". It matches the Rfam family "Bacterial small subunit ribosomal RNA", at positions 1234 to 1500 of the family's 1533-position model. The record is from RNAcentral.
GGGGUACGAGAGGGCCGCUACCACGCGAGUGGAUGCCAAUCCCUAAAACCCCUCUCAGUUCGGACUGGAGUCUGCAACCCGACUCCACGAAGCUGGAUUCGCUAGUAAUCGCGCAUCAGCCACGGCGCGGUGAAUACGUUCCCGGGCCUUGUACACACCGCCCGUCAAGCCAUGGGAGCCGGGGGUACCUGAAGUGCGUAACCGCGAGGAUCGCCCUAGGGUAAAACUGGUGACUGGGGCUAAGUCGUAACAAGGUACC